Long non-coding RNA from Cheilinus undulatus (humphead wrasse), 960 nucleotides. RefSeq lists it as uncharacterized. NCBI's taxonomy places the organism in Eukaryota, Metazoa, Chordata, Actinopteri, Labriformes, Labridae. The transcript has 5 exons. The record is from RefSeq and is a predicted model, not a curated record.
GUCGGUGAAAGGAAAAGCAUGGUUUAUUUCUGACCUCCAGCUUGGUGUACCACUCUAUUUAAUAUCACCUUAGUGGGCUUGGAUCAGUCACUCUCAACGAGAGCAGCUGAGGACGGAAAGGAACAAAUCCUGGAGAAAACCCUUCACAGGACUCCAAGGGGGCUGGAUUCAUGUGGUGGAGUUAAGUUUUUGUCUUCCAGAACCAGAUGUGUUUGGAUGGCUUUCAGGGCUCCCCUCCAGACCACUGGCCAUCAAACUUUAACAUCAUAGCAGAGAGCCCUGCUCAUAUCUCUAGUUGAGUGGGUAAUCACUGAGAAUCAAAGGUGGGCCUGGCUUCCCUUCCUUUCAGACAGACUUCCAUCAGUCUAGAGCCACCAUCAUCUAACCAAAACAGAUGGAGAUUGUUCAUGCUGUAUCGUCCUCUUCACUUUUGAUGACAAGAAGAAGAGCUCAGAAGGAAGUGGCAAAAGUUGGGACUGUGAAACAAAUUUACAAAUUGAGGUCGCAUGGUCCAGUGGAAUGUUUUUCAGACAUAUGACUUCACUGCAUGUCUGAAAGCAUCCUGAAAACAUCUAGAACUUUAAAAAUGCUUGAAAACAUGUUACACUUUCUGUACUUGGAGCUUAAUUGUCAUUACGGUUUAAUGUCUUCCCAAACCCAGACACUCUCUGAAACAUUGAAAGUCUUCUACAAAGUUUUGUAGUUCAUUGUUGUUAUGACAUGAGGGAUCUUCUCUUGGGUGUUAGGGCUACAGCCAUGGUUACAGCUUGAACUUUAGCACAACAUAUAACUUUGUUUUAAUAUCUUCUUUUUCUUAGGUUUGACUUAUUUUUGCUAAAUGAUGAUGAGCCAUAAUUCACAUGCUGAGUUUUAAAUUAACUUUUGACAGUCAUCAGAAUGUUCUAGUCAGUAGAAUUAGGACAAUCUGCGUGUCUGAAAGGACUGGAUAUGUACUGUGCA